GAGCAAGAUGGCGGCGGCUGGCGGACUGCGGCUACGAUGUCUGCUCUAGAUCUGCAACAACGCAUUGGUACUGCGUUCUAGCGGCGGACCGCCUGCGAUGCCAGCAGGCGACUUGGACCACAGCUGCAGACUAGCGGACUGCGGGUGAGUCGCCCCCCUUUAGCCAACGCCACUGUUAGCCACGGUGGAGCGAACAGGUAAGCUAGCCGGCUAACGUCCCCUGGACGCCCAACGUUACGGCCGCUCGUAUGCUAACAAGCUAGCCGCGGCGCGGUGAUCCACCACCCCGAAGCCUCAACGUGUAGCUUUAGCUAGCAAAGAGGUUAAGCUAACAUCGGCCACUGAGUCCACGCCGGCUAAAGGUGGGUACCGACACACGGCCACACAAUUAGACCGCGCACAGGUAGACAACAACACAAAGGCACACAGACUAAGGUGAGUGGGAGGAGCUUUGUGUGUGUGUGUGUGUGUGUGUGCUGAGGUGUGUGUGUGUGUGUGUGUCCACCUAGGUGCUGAGGUGUGUGUGUGUGUGUGUGUGUGUGUGUGUCCACCUAGGUGCUGAGGUGUGUGUGUGUGUGUGUGUGUGUGUGUGUGUGUGUGUGAUUUGACCCUCUGAUGAAAUGCAGCGUGUCGGAGGAUCGAUCCCUGCCAUUGAAGCGCACAUGAUGGGCUGGCUGCUCUCUCAGCGGGUCACGAUGCAGAUGUGUUAUUGUUGGGUUCAGAUAAGUAAGACGUGUAGGUAGUAGCACUACCGCAGUAACUAAUCAUCACAGCAGCUGCGCCUUCAGGUCCGUCACUGGAGUUGUUGCUGACCGGCAGGCGAGAUGCAACCAAGGAGGGAGACGUUUAAUUUACGUCACUGAACAGAGCCUGGACGCUUCAUAAUGUAACUGAACCAGGGUUCUCCUCCUCACUUUGGACCCUGAUUGUACAAUGUAAAAGCAUAAACACAGAUCACAGGUUUUACUCAAUAUUGGCAGAUAAUUGUCAAACUUGACCUGUGUUAUUAAUCAGCGGUUGAAAUCCGUGCAGAUCUGUGAGCUGGGAUCCGUAUGGAUUGUGAAUCAACGCUGGUUUGUUAAACCAUUUAUUGUAAUUAAACCGCUACGUCCCAGCUAAAUUAUCCUCAGAGAUCGAGGACCACCAUUUGUCUUUUGUGCUCAGCAUCUCCAAUAGUGGUUCAUGUUUCCUGUCCUUUCUACUAGGUUUAUUCCUGGAUUCUAUUUUCGAGUAUGGUGACCAUCCUCCAGGACCCACUGACUGACUUGUGCUUCCCUAGUUUUCCUGGCCCAUGGACUUGACUCCAGCCUCAGGCUUCAAACGGAGGCCUGCUGCCUCCUCUUCUCCAAGUGGUGUUGGAGAGACUACCAGGAGCCGUCCUCCCUGCUCGCCUUCUUUCUCCCCGUCAUCGCCAUCGUCUGAUCCGUCCUCGCCCGUGUCCACAUCCUCCUCUCGCUGCGGCAACUCGUCACUUCAUCAGAACCAUGUAAAAGGUCGGAGCCGGGGGUCGGAGGUGGCCAGGGUGUCCUCCACUUCUGCCUCUGCAGCAACGCAGUCUCUCUCCAUACUUUCAUCCAACACCACCUCCUCCGAACUCUUCCCCCACAGUUCAGUUCAGCUACGGCUUGAUUGUGAAGAAGCAGGCCUGAAAAGGGAGAUGUAUGAUCCUUUCCACCCAACUGAGGGAGUGAAGGAGGAGGACGGAGAUGGCGAGAAAUACGACCCCUUUGACCCCACAGGUUCCCCAGCAUCAGAAGACGAUGAUGACAAUAGAAGGGGCAAAGUGAGGGGGGUGAAGAGAAAUGCUGCAAGUGAUGAGGAAAAAGACGAAGAACCUCCAGAUUCCACUCACGCCGCAAGUGACCAGAACAGCCCCCGCCGGUCUACCCAGCGCCCCCUGAGACGGAGAGUGGAAUGUAGCUCUGCCAAAGGCGGGAAGCAGAGGUUUGCUGACUCCGAUCACUCUGAGAUCGAGGAGGGGGAGAUAGUCGGGCUAGUCGACAGAGAUGGAGGCAACCGGAGAUCAGCUGGAGAGAUCCCCACCGUGCAUUCUCCCAGCGUUUCCUUCUUUGGGUCAAAGCCAGAACGCAUCCUCCGGGUGCUGGACGGGGACGGCUUUGUGUCCGUCCGCACAGAGAGCAACUGGGAGGUGGACAUGGAGCCUGAGGAUGAGCCCGUGGUAGGAGUGGAGGAUCUGAGAAGGAAGUUGGUCAGCAGGCGGAAGGAAAGGUAUCUCUCCUUUCCUGCUUCCUCUCCCCUCUCUCCUCAGCCACCGCCUCCCUCCCAUCCUCCAGCUUCUGCGCCCUCCUCCCCGCUCACACCUCAGAUAGAAAAGGUCACCAAGAACCGCAAGUCCUCCAAGAGUUCCAAGGACGCCAACCGACAGAAAAGCAAGGAUAGGAAGGCUGGGGAGAAGGAAGAAAGAAGAAAGAAGAGUAGGAAAGACAAAGAGGGAGAUAGGGAGAGGAGCAAAGAACAGGAGCGAGGGCACAAGAGCAGAAAGGAAGCUAAAGGAAGGAGGAGCAGCAGGAGCAGUAGCCGGAAGAGGAAGAAAAGACAGCACAGCAGUCCAGAGGGCCCACGGUCCUGCAACUCUUCAGGAAGAGGGGGCCAGACCAGACCGCCUUUCUCAAGCCCAUCUGAAGAGAGACAUAAAGAGAAGGAGCGGGAGAAAGACCGAAGCAGAGACAGGGGAAGAGAGAAAGACAGGGAUAGAGACAGGGCGCCAAGUCGGACGAGUAGCCAUAGAAGAGACGAAAGAGAGCGAGAUUCCAGCUCCAGAAAGGAUGACCUGGGGAAGAAGGGAAGACAACAUUCAAGCAGCAGAGAGCGAGGCAUUUCAAAGAGGUCCAAAAGAAGCAAGGACACGAGGGACGGCGACCGAGACCGGCAGCGUGACCGGGAACGGCGUCGGGACGGCCGUCCUGUUGUCCCGCCAUCCAUCCAAGACCUCAAUGGCUCUGAUCUAUUUGCCAUUAAGAGAACUAUCACAGUCACCACGACCACCACCACCACCACCGUACCCGGCUCCCCGAGACUCGCCCCCCCCUCGCCGUGUCGACCUUCACAGGACUCUGAAAAGCCCCACAAGAGGAAGAAGAAGAGGAAAUGGCACUCAGCCGGAGAGAUGGACGACCGUGGAAGUUGUCACAGCCAAUCGCAGUCAAUCUCCCCACCAAGGUAUCACAGCUACGAGUCGGACCGCUAUUCGGACAAAUUGGAGAUAGACGUGUUGUCUUUGGAUGGUGAGGCUUUAGACUCAGACUACCCAUCUCUUGAGGAUACACCCCCUGCUGCCCUGCCACCAGAACCACCGGUCCCCAGUCCUAAACCUAAAGCUGUCCCCAAGACUGGAAGACGUCACCCGAAAAAGAAAUCUCACGCAUUGAAGAAAAUGGACCAGUCCUCGUCUUCCUCUAAAGGCCAAUGUCUCUCCUCACUGACAGUCACCUCAGGCUCGGCUACUGCCUCCUCGGGCCUCCCUUCAGCAAAGCGAGCCAGAAAGAUGGGAAAGGACAAAGACCGGGACAAAGGAAGCAGGAAGGAUUUGGGCCACUCCGCCAAACACAAGAGAGAGAGCGGCGGCGGUCGGAAAGGCAAGCUUCAGUCGAAGGUGUCCGUGCUGGUGCGUGAGGGCGUGAGCAGCACCACAGGGACCUCCGUCGGACCUGGAAAGCUGGGCAUGGACCUAUUGGGGCC
This is a long non-coding RNA of Gasterosteus aculeatus aculeatus (three-spined stickleback), 3699 nucleotides long. The record is from Ensembl. Lineage: Eukaryota; Metazoa; Chordata; Actinopteri; Perciformes; Gasterosteidae.